CAGUAGCCGCGGUAAUACGUAGGUCCCGAGCGUUGUCCGGAUUUAUUGGGCGUAAAGCGAGCGCAGGCGGUUAGAUAAGUCUGAAGUUAAAGGCUGUGGCUUAACCAUAGUACGCUUUGGAAACUGUUUAACUUGAGUGCAAGAGGGGAGAGUGGAAUUCCAUGUGUAGCGGUGAAAUGCGUAGAUAUAUGGAGGAACACCGGUGGCGAGAGCGGCUCUCUGGCUUGUAACUGACGCUGAGGCUCGAAAGCGUGGGGAGCAAACAGGAUUAGAUACCCCCGUAGUCCCUGUCUCUUAUACA
This 301-nucleotide ribosomal RNA is filed under the name uncultured bacterium. Its description in RNAcentral is "partial 16S ribosomal RNA". It matches the Rfam family "Bacterial small subunit ribosomal RNA", at positions 509 to 808 of the family's 1533-position model. The record is from RNAcentral.